RNAcentral lists this ribosomal RNA (449 nucleotides) under uncultured bacterium. Its description in RNAcentral is "partial 16S ribosomal RNA". It matches the Rfam family "Bacterial small subunit ribosomal RNA", at positions 29 to 523 of the family's 1533-position model. The record is from RNAcentral.
AGCGAACGCUGGCGGCAGGCUUAACACAUGCAAGUCGAGCGCCGUAGCAAUACGGAGCGGCAGACGGGUGAGUAACGCGUGGGAACGUGCCCUAAGGUACGGAACAACCAAGGGAAACUUUGGCUAAUACCGUAUGUGCCCGAGAGGGGAAAGAUUUAUCGCCUUAGGAGCGGCCCGCGUCUGAUUAGCUAGUUGGUGAGGUAAUGGCGCACCAAGGCGACGAUCAGUAGCUGGUCUGAGAGGAUGAUCAGCCACACUGGGACUGAGACACGGCCCAGACUCCUACGGGAGGCAGCAGUGGGGAAUAUUGGACAAUGGGCGCAAGCCUGAUCCAGCCAUGCCGCGUGAGUGAUGAAGGCCUUAGGGUUGUAAAGCUCUUUCGACGGGGAAGAUAAUGACGGUACCCGUAGAAGAAGCCCCGGAUAACUUCGUGCCAGCCGCCGCCGUAA